This 3870-nucleotide long non-coding RNA is filed under the name Coffea arabica (coffee). Its description in RNAcentral is "long non-coding RNA (CARA_LNC001116)". Lineage: Eukaryota; Viridiplantae; Streptophyta; Magnoliopsida; Gentianales; Rubiaceae. The record is from RNAcentral.
AAGUGGCCGGUGCUAAACUUAAUUACGUAACACUGAAUAAGGGGCCCCACCAGUUCAGUAAUCAAAUGUAACAUUAAAUGCUCAUACCCCUGUUUCUCUUCCUCUGCCGCCCAAAACCGUUUUCUCAUUUGCCCCUUUGCAAAUUUCAUCAAAGCCCCUUUGAUUAUUGAUGACUAUUAUGAGAGGGGUUUUUAAUUCAACUUCCACCAGUUUCACCUCCCUCUGUUAAACGGUCUCUUAAUUUCUCCAUGUUUGCCACCCAUGUCAGUUUCUGUUCCUCUUAUUAUGUUGGGUUUGUUUAAUUCCUUGGCCGAUUAGGUCUGGUUUCCGCUUAUUUGCUUAUUCUUCCACUUUAUUUCUCUUAAUGGCUCUAAUUAUUAAACAGCCACCAGAUGAAGUAUUAGCUCCCCCACGUUUGCCACCUAUGGCUUUCCUCCUCCUUCCGCAUUUGCUACACACAUAGCCUUCCAUCUUCUUCCGUUUCUCUCCUUUCCUUCUUUGAUUGGUUGGUGUUAAAUAUGUUGCUACAUAUAGCUGUUUCUCUGUGAUAUGUUUGGCCGCCGAUAUGGAAAUUCCUUUGAAUUGAGGUGAGAUUCGUAUACAAGUAAUUUUGCCCAUUUGAUUUUGGCUUUUGCUUUCAAAAAAGAAUUACCAUGCUUUCUUACCAUGCUUUCUUAGACCUGAUGUGUUUGUUCUCAUCUGCAUCCUUCGUCCGUUUAUUAGUUCCGGCCUUUCAUACAAAGUUAAUUAUUUUUUUUGUUAUGCAGGCUCAAACUCUUCUCAUCAAGAUCAAGUUUUAUCAAUUUCUUUUUUAAAAAGGUUAGUUCAUUUUCUACUUUUCUCCAAACUUGCUGGAAUAGAUGUUUUUUUUAAAAAAUGAUUUUGUGGACUGUGUUUACCAUUGAAUUCAUGCCUGCUUGGAAAUCUCCGUUAGUUUACAAUUUAUGCUUGUUUGGCGAUCUUCUUUUGUUUACAUUGGAUUUGAAUAUUAUGUGGUGCAGUUAAAAAAUCUUUUGCUCUUUCAUCGCUCAUAAAUUUCAUGACAUGUGUAUGUACAUGAAAGCAUAAGCAAUUAGUAUUGUAGUUGCUCCUUAUUUUAAAAGAGCUACAGUUCAUUCGGUAGCAAAAGUGGUUAAUAUUUGUAGGCUGAAUCUGUGCUGAAGUAUACUACAAAUAAGCUUGUGUCUUAGGAUUCAUUCGAAUUGUUCAAGUUUGUGUAAACCACAAGUUCCCACCACUUUUGUUAGUUGACCCUACAUUUCCAUAGCAACCCACUAUGAAUCGAAAUAUUGCUCCUUCUAAAAUGUUCAACCAAAAAGCUCAACAUAACGAAAAGGCUAGACAAAGAUAUGCCUCUUUAACUAAGGAGCAGAAAGAAAUCCAACGAAAAAAACACCGUGAUACCUAAUAAAGUAAAAAAGAAAAGACAAGGACUACUUUUACCUCCUCGUUAGUAUUAAGAGGAAAAGGUAUCGCGUUGUAUAUACUACAUUAUAGUGAAUAUUUAGAGGCCCACCUACCUCUAUAAUAACUCCCAACAAGUAUGGCUGUAAACUAAACUACCUUUUCCUCUAUCUCUAUGCUCAGAUGAUGAGCACACCAGUAAUAAGCAACUGUUACAGCAGGCUUUUCGCAUUCAAGAACCUAACUAUGGUCAUAAGCACCACAGUGAGGCAGGUUAUUUUGUAAUCCCUUUUCCUUUAGGCUAUUGUGAUGUCAUAUAGGCAUAACAUUUUCACAAUCUAUUUAGUUCCUGGAGACAAAGUUGAAGAUAAUCGAAGGCAGAAGGAGCAUGUUUCAGAAUUUUCAACAUAUCACAAAGGUGAACCACAUGGAAUACUAUGAACUCAAACAUUUUGAUCUAAGCUAUGGUUUUUUAUAAUACUAUGAUGUGGUUCUCUAUUACUUUCGUAUGGCUUCUUAGUUACAACUUCCAUCUUUUCUCUCUUCACUGUUCUUAUAUUUGUAUGGAAUUUGUAAGGAUGUUUGCAAGUGGUGAGAUCUAUCUAACCUUAAUUUGUAAAGAGCGGACCCAUAGGCACCCGACUCCCGCGCAUUGCGCGGGCCUUCCCCACUAGUAAUAAUAAUAAUAUAGAGCACUGAAACAAUAAUGAAAGCGUAAGAGGGUCUUUGUUAAAUUCGUCUCCUGAAAAAUGUGGAGUUCUGAACUCUAUCCCCAUCAAGGUAAUUAUUCCCAGCCUUAACAGGCAUUGCCGCACACAUUUAAGGAACCCUUUUGGGUUCAAGAGAGCUUUGAUUUAUAGAAGGGCUGUUACCAAAUACGGUCUGUUAAUGGAGAACCACAUUUAUGUUUGGCAAAAGGAGAUAGCUAGCCACCUUAAGAGUUCCAUGCUCUUCGUUAUAUAUAUAUAUAUAUAUAUAUAUAUAUAUAUAUAUAAUCCAACAAUAUCUCAAAUAACCCUCUGUUUUCUUACUAAAAUCAUGAGUCCAUGGAAAAACGGAUAAUUAGUAUGUUCACUUAAUAAUGAUAAUAAUAAUAAUAAUAAUAAAGUGUAUAAAAAUAGUGGUAGAGUUUUUUUUUAAUUCAAGUACAAAAGUGGAAGGGAAAAGGGCAAAAUGGAUGUCUGAGAAUUGAAUCAGGACAUUAUGAUUAUGUAGUUAAUGCUUCUCUCAACCGAGUUGGAACUUGGGAAUUGGUUUCUAUUCCUACGUUAGUGCAACUAGGCUGGCACAAAAUAUAGGAUAUAGAAUCCCAGGUGCUUUACUUCUACUGACUAGUUACUACUAAGAAUGUCACAGAUAGUGUACUGUUCAUGUCAUUUGGUUUCGGAAAAACAUGUAAAAUUUGGCAAAGUCAGAACUAGUGAAUUGGGAAGAAAUUAACUGUUAGCAAUUGUUUGAGUUGUAGUUGAGUUAUCAAACUUGAUUCAUAUUAUGGUAAUAUGGCAAUUAAGUUUACCAGAAAAAUAAUUGGCACCAAUACAGAGGUUUCUAAAUUUUAACUUGUAAAGCGAAGUUGGUCUCUCAAACAUGAACAUAAAAUCUUUUUAUUUCUUGAGUUUAGAUAAAAUUCUUGCUAUCCCAAUGCUUUUUAUGAAAAUGUUAUUCAAUGAGAAUAAUUUGCAUUUGUGGUUUUCUGUUCACAUGGGGAAAAUGUGCAUGCCUUGGAUCAUUUUCAUGCAUAUGUUGGUGCAUUUAUAUAUGUACAUAGAGAAAGUAAGCUGAUGCCUUGUUCUGUUUGGUUCAUAAUAAUGUGCAUGCCUUGUUCUGUUUGCAUAGUAAGCUGACGCAUUUAUAUAUGUUGGUGCAUUUAUAUUUUCAUGCCCUGUUCUGUUUGUUUCAGAAUAAUUAGGAAAAGUCAUUCAGCACUUUUGGUUCUUUCUCAUUUUUUUAAAAUAUUCUUCAAGAAAUUUGCAAGCUGAUGUUAUUUUUCUUCUUGAAUAAUUAGAGAAGUACGUAUACCACCUAUUCAAAAUAUUAAAAUUUUACUAAAGUUCAUUAAUGUUUCACCACAGGUUUGAAUUGAAGAUAGCUAUCUAUGAAAAGAAAUCAUUUUGAAGACGUUGCACAUUGAUUUCGCUAGAGGUACAAGGCAACUUAUAUUCUCGUGUUCUUUUUUAUUAGGAAUUAGAUUAAGUUACAUAUAUGAUAUUAAAUUCGUUCAUUUGUUUGAACCUGUAAUGUACGUUCAUUUUCAUCUUUUGGUCAUUUGAAUUCUUAAUUUUUUUUUAAACUGGAGUGUCAUUGCAGUAGAUAUAUUAUAUGACCUGCAAAUUUUAUUCUUAACAUUGAUUCGUGUAAAAAAACUGUUUACUUGGUGACACGUGAUAAAUGGCUAGUAGUGGAAAACCUUUGGGGUUCAGUCUGUUUGCUCAUGUCUUGUGCUUUUAUCUCAAACAGUGACCUUCU